Molecule: ribosomal RNA, 294 nt
Filed under: Triticum aestivum (bread wheat)
Lineage: Eukaryota; Viridiplantae; Streptophyta; Magnoliopsida; Poales; Poaceae
Description: partial small subunit ribosomal RNA
Source: RNAcentral
AUGUUGUCGACCCUUUGGUUUGCUACUCUUAGAUGCCUGUUGAGUAAAUGUUAUCUGAAUCCUCACAUUCUCUUUUGUUUCAGAGGCAACUCCGUGAAGGACGCAGCGUCCAAGGCUUAUGCUCAGGUGUUUGCUCCUCACCAUGGCUGGGCCAUAAGGAAAACAGUAUGUGCUAGAAUGUACGCCCUUCCUUCUAAGUCGCAGCUCUUGAAGAAACUGAAUGAAGAUGCCGACGAUCCAUGUCCCUACGCGCGUGCUGUCGGUUUUCUUCCACGCGCUGCUGCUGUUACCUGA